UACCGCUUUACAGCUAAAGGAA
Molecule: microRNA, 22 nt
Filed under: Caenorhabditis briggsae
Lineage: Eukaryota; Metazoa; Nematoda; Chromadorea; Rhabditida; Rhabditidae
Description: Cbr-Mir-9-P16_3p* (star (passenger))
Source: RNAcentral